This is a small nucleolar RNA of Arachis stenosperma, 108 nucleotides long. NCBI's taxonomy places the organism in Eukaryota, Viridiplantae, Streptophyta, Magnoliopsida, Fabales, Fabaceae. The record is from RefSeq and is a predicted model, not a curated record.
AAGCAUGUCAGAAGGACACUUUUUGGUAAAUUACUUGUAUCUUUCCUAAGCUUUAUAGAGGGAUUCACCUUCUUUCUGCCUAAAAGUUUGAACAUCCAUUCUAAGCUU